Molecule: long non-coding RNA, 508 nt
Organism: Rosa rugosa (rugosa rose)
Lineage: Eukaryota; Viridiplantae; Streptophyta; Magnoliopsida; Rosales; Rosaceae
Exons: 3
Source: RefSeq, a predicted model, not a curated record
UAGCCCUUGCCGCCCAUAUUUUCCGUCGCCAGCGCCGAUUCCGGCCAAAUCCGGCCACAAUUCUUAUACUAAUCUCUUCCUUACCUCAUGGGCUUCCUAUCUACAUAAGUUUCAAGACCUAUCAUCAAGUGUGCGCGACGAAUCGAAUGAGGGAAGAUUGGGUGGUUUUCCGGCUAUUUUCCGAAUUCCGGCCAAACCAUUGAGAAUUUGGAGAAAUCCCAUGGUAAUCCGGUUGAGCAAGCUUCCGAGGACAUUCCCGAGAUGGGACUCACCUAGUCACCCUUCAUUGUUAGCGUUGCAAAGGUCGAAUCAAUAUCCACGUCAAAUGCAUGCAUCCACUUGAUCUUCUGACAUCAGUAGUAUAGUUUACUUAGUAGUAGUUCUUAUGUUAAUUAGAGGAGCUUUGAGAUGCCAUAAGUAAAUUGAGGUCUAUUGAAAUUGCAUGUAAAUAUUCGACGAGACACUUUGUUUUAUCUAUUCAUUGAUGGUUAGUGAAAGUUGAUUUUGU